RNAcentral lists this signal recognition particle RNA (95 nucleotides) under Mycobacterium celatum. RNAcentral's name for it is "signal recognition particle sRNA small type". It matches the Rfam family "Bacterial small signal recognition particle RNA". Rfam says of the family: The signal recognition particle (SRP) is a universally conserved ribonucleoprotein involved in the co-translational targeting of proteins to membranes. Archaeal SRP consists of a 7S RNA and homologues of the eukaryotic SRP19 and SRP54 proteins. In most bacteria, the SRP consists of a 4.5S RNA and the Ffh protein (a homologue of the eukaryotic SRP54 protein). Lineage: Bacteria; Bacillati; Actinomycetota; Actinomycetes; Mycobacteriales; Mycobacteriaceae. The record is from RNAcentral. RNAcentral also lists the same sequence under 2 other names.
CGUGGACCCCGCGCGGCGUUUAUCCUGUGAACUCCCCCAGGGCCGGAAGGCAGCAAGGGUCAACGGGCUCUAGCGGGUGCGCGGGGUCCCCCCAC